UGUAUCUGAAGCCUGACGAGGAUGAGAACCUCCGGGGGCAAGAGGUUCGACCCGAGCGAAGCGAGAGAACGUUGCGUCAGCAACGGCCCGCAGGGCGA
Molecule: small RNA, 98 nt
Filed under: Salmonella enterica
Lineage: Bacteria; Pseudomonadati; Pseudomonadota; Gammaproteobacteria; Enterobacterales; Enterobacteriaceae
Also listed under: 1 other name
Description: partial RtT sRNA
Rfam family: RtT RNA
About the family: This family represents a bacterial cis-regulatory element known as RtT RNA. The exact function of RtT is unknown although it is thought that it may be involved in changing the cellular response in relation to amino acid starvation.
Source: RNAcentral